AGAGUUUGAUCCUGGCUCAGAACGAACGCUGGCGGCGUGCCUAACACAUGCAAGUCGAACGAGAAUCCGGGCUUCGGUCCGGUAGUAAAGUGGCGCACGGGUGAGUAACACGUGGGUAACGUACAUUAUAGUGGGGGAUAACCAGGUGAAAGCUUGGCUAAUACCGCAUGAGUCCGGUGAGACGCAGGUCUUGCCGGGGAAAGUGGAGCAAUCCACGCUAUCAGAUGAGCCUGCGUAGGAUUAGCUUGUUGGUGAGGUAAAGGCUCACCAAGGCGACGAUCCUUAGCUGGUCUGAGAGGAUGAUCAGCCACACUGGAACUGAGACACGGUCCAGACUCCUACGGGAGGCAGCAGUGGGGAAUAUUGCGCAAUGGGCGAAAGCCUGACGCAGCCAUGCCGCGUGUGUGAAGAAGGCCUUCGGGUUGUAAAGCACUUUCAAUUGGGAAGAAAGGUUGCGUGUUAAUAGCACGUAGCUGUGACGUUACCUUUAGAAGAAGCACCGGCUAACUCCGUGCCAGCAGCCGCGGUAAUACGGAGGGUGCGAGCGUUAAUCGGAAUUACUGGGCGUAAAGCGCGCGUAGGCGGUUUGUUAAGUCGGAUGUGAAAUCCCCGGGCUCAACCUGGGAAUGGCAUUCGAUACUGGCCGACUAGAGUACGAGAGAGGGAGGUAGAAUUCCACGUGUAGCGGUGAAAUGCGUAGAUAUGUGGAGGAAUACCGGUGGCGAAGGCGGCCUCCUGGCUCGAUACUGACGCUGAGGUGCGAAAGCGUGGGUAGCAAACAGGAUUAGAUACCCUGGUAGUCCACGCCGUAAACGAUGUCUACUAGCCGUUGGGAAACUUGAUUUCUAAUGGCGCAGCUAACGCACUAAGUAGACCGCCUGGGGAGUACGGCCGCAAGGUUAAACUCCAAGGAAUUGACGG
This 921-nucleotide ribosomal RNA is filed under the name uncultured bacterium. RNAcentral's name for it is "bacterial SSU rRNA". It matches the Rfam family "Bacterial small subunit ribosomal RNA", at positions 8 to 916 of the family's 1533-position model. The record is from RNAcentral.